GAAAUGGGAAUAAUACCUCUCUUGGAGGUUUUUCCAUGAAGAUUAAAAACAAUAUAUUUAGAAGAAUGCAAACAUUAGUGUAUGUAAGUUCCUAGAACUCUGCUACCCCAACUGUGUUCUGUGGACCACCAGCAUUGGCAGCACCUGGGGGAAUCUCAGGUCCAAACUUGUGAAUCAAAGUUUGUAUUUGAACAAGAUCCGCAGGGGAUUCAAAUGCAUGCUAAAGUUUAAGAAGCAUGCCUGGAGGAGGUUUGGCAUACAAAUUACUUGGUAGUCUGGGCUUUCUCAGUGGGACUGAGGCAAAGCCAUGGUCAGAGUCUGAGCUGGA
This 328-nucleotide long non-coding RNA is filed under the name Pan troglodytes (chimpanzee). RNAcentral's name for it is "long non-coding RNA NONPTRT001234". Lineage: Eukaryota; Metazoa; Chordata; Mammalia; Primates; Hominidae. The record is from RNAcentral.